ACAAGCCUCAGCCUUCCAGUCUCCUGCAAGCACUCUCUGCUCUGUGGCACGGGGACUUUCCCUGCAGCAUCUUUGGGAGUGGCCUCCCUGUUUGGUCACUGCAAAGCCAUGCUUCCCCUGCCCUCCAAGGUUGCGACAUCUUGAUCCUUUUACCACCACUCCAAUGGACCAUUGUGGCAUUGUCC
RNAcentral lists this non-coding RNA (185 nucleotides) under Amphidinium carterae. Lineage: Eukaryota; Dinophyceae; Amphidiniales; Amphidiniaceae. The record is from RNAcentral.